RNA transcript from Jatropha curcas, 2805 nucleotides. It is a transcript of the gene named Nucleic acid-binding, OB-fold-like protein, with no coding region annotated. NCBI's taxonomy places the organism in Eukaryota, Viridiplantae, Streptophyta, Magnoliopsida, Malpighiales, Euphorbiaceae. The record is from RefSeq and is a predicted model, not a curated record.
UAAGCAUUAUCAGUAAUCAGACAGAUAAAGCUCCCUUCGUAGACCCAUUGUAUUUCCUUCCUCUAUCUUCCUCUGCAGCACUGCCUGCUCUAGCCCUUCUACACCCAACCUUAAAACUAUAUACAGUUCGCAAAAUCAAGAAUUUGAAUAAAAUUCCAAUGCUAUUUAACGUUAUCUGAUGAAAUUACUCUUCAAUUGCCAAAAAUGGAUGGCCUUACACUAGCCACCGCCACUGCCACCAACGCCACAGCUAGCUCUUCCUUGUAUAUUAACAAAUCGCUCUUUUCUGUGGUUUCGGUUGAAGGAAGAAGAAUUAGAGGUACAAGAAGGGAAAUAUGUUGCCCUAGAAAGGGUAAAUUUGUUGUUUUGGCGGCAAAAGAAGAAGAGCCCAACCUUAACCAGUGGGACCAAAUGGAGCUCAAGUUUGGCCGAAUGCUUGGCGAAGACCCCAAACUUACCCUUGCUAAGAUAAUGGCUAGAAAAGCAAACCCGGAUGUUUCGUACCUUGAAGUCGAGAAAUCAUUUUAUAAAAAUAAGGGUAAAAUUGUAGAAAUACAAGAGCUUCCAUUUGAUGUCUCAAAGGAUAAGAAAUCGUCAGAUUCAUUGGAUGGCUUGACUUUGGCACGACCUGUUCCUAAAGAAGGGUUUAAGUUUCAAGCUGAUGAUAGGCCAGUAGGAGCAGAGAUAAAGAAGCCAAGGCAACCAGUUGGAAAAGCUAUGGACAAUACUAAAAGCAGUGUUCCUAAUGUUAUAUUGAGAAAGCCAUCUAUGUUUGUUGAGGAUGAUGUGGAAGACAAGCCCUCUUCAAGGUCUAAAGUGAGGAUUAAACCAAAUUUGACGUUGAAAAUGAGGAAUGAUCCAGCUAAGGAGAAGUUUAGUGAUAUGACUCUGUUGAGAAGGCCAGAAAUACUGAGUGUUGAAGAAAAGCAAGAGUCUUCGGAUAAUGCAGAGUCCAAAGGUUACAAUAAAGUAACUGAAUUGAGAACAGGGACAGAAGAAGAUGAGAAUAACUAUAGUGGUUUUACUUUAUUAAAGAAGCCUGAAACUACGAAGGAUAAUGUUGAAGUAUCUUCGGAGACUGGAGGUGCAUCAGUUGUGAUGGAGCCAGGGCCAGAAGCUAAACCCAGAUUAGGAAUACAGCCAAUUGAGGUGAGCAAUAUUGGGUACGGUUCUGACAGAAAUAUUGUUGAUUCUGCUGUGAAGUCCUCAGUAGAAGCUAUGCUGCAAGGGAAGCCAAAGAGAUUAGACCAAUCUGUUAAAAAAACAUCAAGCUCUGAUAUCGAAAAGACAGCUAUUUUGAAUGAUGAGAGUUCUGGAAAAGUCGAUGAGCUUAAUAAUCUCCCUACUACAUCACCAUCUGAGGAUGCUGAUUGGUCCAGGGCAGAGGAGUUGCUUAGGACGGGAUAUAGAGGGGAUGUGGAGUUAGUCAGCGCCAGCACAAAGGGUUUUGUUGUAUCUUUCGGCUUAUUGAUAGGAUUUUUGCCAUACCGAAAUCUGUCUGCCAAAUGGAAGUUCUUAGCAUUUGAGUCAUGGUUGAAACAGAAAGGGUUGGACCCAUCAAUGUAUAAGCAAAAUUUAGGAAUUAUUGGAAGUUAUGAUAAUGUAGACAAGAACUUCUCUCCUGAUUCGAGAGCUGAUCCAGAAAGUGAUCGAAGCAUUAGAGGAGAAAUUACACCAGAUAUGAAGUUGGAAGAUCUUCUUAAGAUUUAUGACCAAGAUAAACUCAGAUUCUUGUCCUCAUUUGUUGGUCAGAAAAUUAAGGUGAACGUGGUAGCAGCUGACCGGAAUUUGAGGAAACUUAUAGUUUCUUUGAGGCCAAAAGAAAAGGAAGAGUCAAUUGAGAAAAAGAGAAAUCUCAUGGCUAAACUUCAAAUUGGAGAUGUUGUGAAGUGCUGCAUCAAGAAAAUAACCUACUUUGGAAUUUUUGUUGAGGUUGAAGGUGUGCCUGCGUUAAUUCACCAGACUGAGGUGUCAUGGGAUGCAACCUUGGAUCCUGCAUCAUAUUUCAAAGUUGGUCAGAUUGUGGAGGCAAAAGUCCACCGAUUGGAUUUUUCACUUGAGCGUAUUUUCUUAUCAUUAAAGGAGAUUACGCCUGAUCCGCUGAUUGAGGCCUUGGAGUUUGUGGUUGGUGAUCGUGAUCCCUUGGAUGGGAGAUUACAAGCAGCGGAGGCGGAUUCUGAGUGGGCUGAUGUAGAAUCACUUAUCAAAGAACUGCAACAAAUUGAAGGAAUCCAGUCUGUAUCUAAAGGCCGUUUCUUCUUAAGUCCUGGUCUAGCUCCAACAUUUCAGGUCUAUAUGGCGUCCAUGUUUGAGAACCAGUACAAGUUGCUUGCUCGAUCUGGAAACAAAGUGCAAGAGGUGAUAGUUGAAGCAUCACUGGGUAAAGAAGAAAUGAAAUCUACAAUUUUAUCAUGUGCUAGUAGAGUAGAAUGAUUGUUCGCGGAAUCUUAAAUUUUGAAUUCCCUCCUAAUUAUCCCGUCAGUGGGAGACCUUUCCUGCAUUGAGACUCCAGUUCAAUUGACAGGUUACAUUGGUGUUCAAAUUUAAUAACGCAUUCAACUCAUGUUGGAUAAUUUAUUCUCACUCUUUAAUCAAAUGAAGAGCUCUGGAUUGUUAAAUGGUUAUAUAUGGAGUCUGUAGCUGCAACUUAUUCUACCCUAAAAUCUCACAUUACCACUGUUUAAUUUUUAGUAUAGGUAAUGGGGGAUGUACGCUGAUAAUUGUGACUAAAUUAUUCAUUUGUUUAUCAGUUCUCUAUGACAGCAGUGUACUUAUUUAAGUGAAAGACUCAGUAUUCUUAAGUAA